This 730-nucleotide long non-coding RNA is filed under the name Fukomys damarensis (Damara mole-rat). RNAcentral's name for it is "lncRNA (ENSFDAG00000024162.1)". Lineage: Eukaryota; Metazoa; Chordata; Mammalia; Rodentia; Bathyergidae. The record is from RNAcentral.
AAUGUGCACAGGGGUGCCAGGGGCCUGGAGGAGAGCCUCCCCUCAUUGUGCUCUCACAGGCAGAUGGAGUGGAGGUCGCUGGUGGGGCCGACCCUGUCACCCACCCUAUGGGGGAGAUAGCUCCAUGAGGCAAUCCUGCCUCGCUCAGGCAGAGUGGAGAGAUGGCAGGGGGAAGAUGCUUGCAUCUUCCUGGGAACGAGGGAAGACACGCAGGAGUGCUUUACAGGACAUAAACUAUUAUGGAUAAAGAGCUAGAUCUCAGAUGCUGGAUCCCAGGCUGAAGACCCAGUGAGCACUGUGCUGGGCCAGGCCGUGCGCCCUGCAAACUUCACAGGAGACAAAAGCCCAGGUCUUAACCUCUGCACGAAGAGCAUCCUAACUCCUGCUAACACGUCGCUGGCCUUGCCGGCUUCUGACACACUGCCAAGUUUUCUAGCAGCAACAGCGAGCCAGUGCAUCUGGAGGGGCUGCUCCGCGGCCUUGCGCUCACUUGUCCUGCACUUCGCUUCCUGGAGUAACCUCAGAAGAUGCAACAUCUCCAUUUUUCAUCCACUCCUAUGGGGAAAAUGCCAGGUCUGCGAUGCGUGAUUCUACCGGACAUCGGGUAUAAUAAAAACACCUGGUCCCUUAGAGCACGGUGUCCACCACAUGGGAGCGUGAGGAACAGACCAGUGGAUCACAGACACCGAGGGUGUUUGCAUUUGGGGUGGUUUUCUGCCGCUAUACUGAG